GCCCAGAUCUACAGCUAAGGUCCCAAAGCAGGUUUAAGUGGAAAAGGAUGUGGAGUUGCGAAAACAGCCAGGAUGUUGGCUUAGAAGCAGCCACUCAUUUAAAGAGUGCGUAAUAGCUCACUGGUCGAGUGACUCUGCGCCGAAAAUUCAACGGGGCUAAAACCUGCACCGAAGCUUAGGCAUCCGCAAGGAUGGGUAGGGGAGCGUUGUGUACGAGGCGAAGCAUUAGCGAAAGCGGAUGUGGAUUGUACACAAGUGAGAAUGCCGGAAUAAGUAGCGCGAAUGAUGUGAGAAUCAUCAUGGCCGAAAGCCUCAGGUUUUUGGAGGAAGGUUCGUCCGCUCCAAGUUAGCCGGGAGCUAAGGUGAGGCCGAAAGGCGUAGCCGAUGCACAUACGGUAGAGAUUCCGUAGCCGCCGAAAGAUUUAAGCAGGGGGACACAUUUGAAGUGUUGGUGCCGGGUGUUGGUUUACCCGGUCGAAAGGGACUGAAAUUUAGUAGGGAAGUCCAGCAUGGAGAGUGGCGAGAAAAGCCCUGUGUAUAUCUAAGGCGCCCGUACCGCAAACCGACACAGGUAGGUAGGAAGAAGAUUCUAAGGCCAACGGGAGAAGGGUUGUUAAGGAACUCGGCAAGUUGACCCCGUAACUUCGGGAGAAGGGGUGCUCAUGAAAGUGAGCCGCAGAGAAUAGGCCCAAGCAACUGUUUAGCAAAAACACAGGUCUGUGCUAAAUCGAAAGAUGACGUAUACGGGCUGACACCUGCCCGGUGCUGGAAGGUUAAGGGGAUGUGUGCAAGCACUGAACCGAAGCCCCAGUAAACGGCGGCCGUAACUAUAACGGUCCUAAGGUAGCGAAAUUCCUUGUCAGGUAAGUUCUGACCCGCACGAAUGGCGUAAUGAUUUGGGCACUGUCUCAACAGCCCGCCCGGCGAAAUUGUAGUACCGGUGAAGAUGCCGGUUUCCCGCGACAAGACGGAAAGACCCCAUGGAGCUUUACUGCAGCCUAAUAUUGGGUUUCGAUAUUACAUGUACAGGAUAUGUGGGAGACAUGGAAGCACGGGCGUCAGCCUGUGUGGAGUCAGCCUUGGGAUACCACACUUGUGAUAUUGGAAUUCUAACCUGCGGCCCUGAAUCGGGUCGGGGGACAUUGUUAGGCGGGCAGUUUGACUGGGGCGGUCGCCUCCGAAAAAGUAACGGAGGCGUUCAAAGGUUGGCUCAGCUUGGACGGAAACCAAGCCAAAGAGUGCAAACGCAUAAGCCAGCCUAACUGCGAGACUGACGGGUCGAGCAGUAACGAAAGUUGGAGUUAGUGAUCCGGCGGUAUGUGAGUGGAAAUGCCGUCGCUCAACGGAUAAAAGUUACCCUGGGGAUAACAGGCUGAUCUCCCCCAAGAGUCCACAUCGACGGGGAGGUU
RNAcentral lists this ribosomal RNA (1409 nucleotides) under human gut metagenome. RNAcentral describes it as "bacterial LSU rRNA". It matches the Rfam family "Bacterial large subunit ribosomal RNA", at positions 1025 to 2518 of the family's 2925-position model. The record is from RNAcentral.